RNAcentral lists this long non-coding RNA (319 nucleotides) under Pan troglodytes (chimpanzee). Its description in RNAcentral is "long non-coding RNA NONPTRT014438". The record is from RNAcentral. Lineage: Eukaryota; Metazoa; Chordata; Mammalia; Primates; Hominidae.
GGCCUGCCGCCGCCACCGCCUCAGGGAAGAGGAAGGAGGCCGCGGCUUCGCGUCCCGCCUCUCGCCUGGCUGGCCGUGGGGGGCCUGGACGCAGUGGCCUCCCGAAUCUCCCAGGACCCUAAUGUCGCCCGAGGAUGCUGGGAGGAACACUGAGCCGACCUCUCCGUUAGGCUGAAGAUUGCACAAACCAUGCUAAUGGCCAGCAUGGGUGGAGGGAGCGUGUGAGAUGUGUGGGGCGGCGUGCUGCAUCUCAGCCAACUCCAGGAGGUUUCUAUAUGCUGCAAGUGACAGACAAGUCUACUGGAACUGACUUUAAGGU